RNAcentral lists this ribosomal RNA (342 nucleotides) under uncultured fungus. Its description in RNAcentral is "eukaryotic LSU rRNA". The stretch from base 1 to 97 matches the Rfam family "5.8S ribosomal RNA", at positions 59 to 154 of the family's 154-position model. Lineage: Eukaryota; Fungi. The record is from RNAcentral.
UAAGUAAUGUGAAUUGCAGAAUUCAGUGAAUCAUCGAAUCUUUGAACGCACCUUGCCGCUCCCUGGUAUUCCGGGGAGCAUGCCUGUUUGAGUGUCGUGAAAUCAUCAUGGUCAUGAUCUUUAAUUAAUCAUGGCUUGGUUUUGGAGGUUAUGUUGGCUUUUUAUUAAGUUGACUCCUCUUAAAUACAUUAGCUCAGUGUUUAAUGCUUAGAGCGGUUCACGGUGUGAUAAUUGUCUACGCCGUGGGUACACCGCGAUUGUGGGGGACCUGCUUCCAACCGUCGAAAGACAACUUCAUCGAAACUUGACCUCAAAUCAGGCGGGACUACCCGCUGAACUUAA